RNAcentral lists this transfer RNA (69 nucleotides) under Leptocimbex sp. Its description in RNAcentral is "tRNA-Ser". Lineage: Eukaryota; Metazoa; Arthropoda; Insecta; Hymenoptera; Cimbicidae. The record is from RNAcentral.
AAUCAUUGAACUUAAAAUAAGUAUAUGUUUUGAAAACAUAUUGGAAAAGUCUCAACCUUCUAUUGAUUU